This 793-nucleotide ribosomal RNA is filed under the name uncultured archaeon. RNAcentral's name for it is "bacterial SSU rRNA". It matches the Rfam family "Archaeal small subunit ribosomal RNA", at positions 85 to 879 of the family's 1478-position model. The record is from RNAcentral.
ACUGCUCAGUAACACGUGGACAACCUGCCCUUAGGUUGGGUAUAAACCCGGGAAACUGGGUAUAAUACCCGAUAGGUCUCGAUUGCUGGAAUGCAUCGAGAUUUAAAGCUCCGGCGCCUAAGGAUGGGUCUGCGGCCUAUCAGGUAGUAGUGGGUGUAGCGUACCUACUAGCCUACGACGGGUACGGGUUGUGAGAGCAAGAGCCCGGCGAUGGAUUCUGAGACACGAAUCCAGGCCCUACGGGGUGCAGCAGGCGCGAAAACUUUACAAUGCUGGCAACAGCGAUAAGGGAACCUCGAGUGCCAGGUUACAAAUCUGGCUGUCGAGAUGCCUAAAAAGCAUUUCAUAGCAAGGGCCGGGCAAGACCGGUGCCAGCCGCCGCGGUAACACCGGCGGCUCGAGUGGUAACCGUUAUUAUUGGGUCUAAAGGGUCUGUAGCCGGCCGGAUAAGUCUCUUGAGAAAUCUGGCAGCUUAACUGUCAGGCUUUCAGGAGAUACUGUCUGGCUCGAGGCCGGGAGAGGUGAGAGGUACUUCAGGGGUAGGGGUGAAAUCUUGUAAUCCUUGAAGGACCACCAGUGGCGAAGGCGUCUCACCAGAACGGACCUGACGGCAAGGGACGAAAGCUAGGGGCACGAACCGGAUUAGAUACCCGGGUAGUCCUAGCCGUAAACGAUACUCGCUAGGUGUCGGCCACGGUGCGACCGUUGUCGGUGCCGUAGGGAAGCCGUGAAGCGAGCCACCUGGGAAGUACGGCCGCAAGGCUGAAACUUAAAGGAAUUGGCGGGGGAGCAC